Molecule: long non-coding RNA, 173 nt
Organism: Neopelma chrysocephalum (saffron-crested tyrant-manakin)
Lineage: Eukaryota; Metazoa; Chordata; Aves; Passeriformes; Pipridae
Exons: 2
Source: RefSeq, a predicted model, not a curated record
AAGGAGAUGGCCAACAUGAAGGAGGAGUUUGAGAAAACCAAAGAAGAGCUUGCAAAGUCUGAGGCAAAGCGGAAGGAGCUGGAGGAGAAAAUGGCUUCUCUAAUGCAAGAAAAAAAUGAUCUGCAGCUCCAAGUGCAAUCUGAAGCUGAUGCUCUGGCUGAUGCUGAGGAAAG